CUACGCAGGGAUCAACCAGGAGGGGAGAAACCCCUCUUUGCCCUAGUUCAUCAAAUCUCUAACAAUUAGAGGUGAUUCUGGACAUCAUUUGAAUGCAUGUGGCCUAAUUCUCAACCAUCUAAGAGUUUCCUACAUAGGGAGUGAAAGAAGAAGGAGCUAGUUCCGGUUCACAACACAAGGCUCAAGAACGAGGUAAAUCUCAUGCUUAAGUGUUUCGGCCCCUUUCUCGGAUCGAACACGCACCUUGUCAACCUCAUAUGCGCUUCCGGUUUAAGUCGCUCACUUGAAAUGGGUCAAAAAAGGUUUUGUAAUGUAAUGUUAAGUUAAUUUAGGAUGUUUGUAGUAACUUGGGUAUUUUCCUUAAAACUCAUUUUGGGCGGUAUCGCCAAAAUACUUGUAAUGAAUUUUGUAUGGUUGUAUUUCUCAUCUUUUCAAAAGAUGUCUUGCGCUUUGUUUUUUAAUGAAAUU
This is a long non-coding RNA of Helianthus annuus (common sunflower), 468 nucleotides long. RefSeq lists it as uncharacterized. The transcript has 3 exons. NCBI's taxonomy places the organism in Eukaryota, Viridiplantae, Streptophyta, Magnoliopsida, Asterales, Asteraceae. The record is from RefSeq and is a predicted model, not a curated record.